CUACUUUAACAGAGCGUCGCAAUGACUCUCGGCAACGGAUAUCUCGGCUCUCGCAUCGAUGAAGAACGUAGCGAAAUGCGAUACUUGGUGUGAAUUGCAGAAUCCCGUGAACCAUCGAGUCUUUGAACGCAAGUUGCGCCCGAAGCCUUUCGGCCGA
Molecule: ribosomal RNA, 157 nt
Filed under: Boehmeria virgata var. macrophylla
Lineage: Eukaryota; Viridiplantae; Streptophyta; Magnoliopsida; Rosales; Urticaceae
Description: Boehmeria macrophylla var. macrophylla 5.8S ribosomal RNA
Rfam family: 5.8S ribosomal RNA (bases 24-157)
About the family: 5.8S ribosomal RNA (5.8S rRNA) is a component of the large subunit of the eukaryotic ribosome. It is transcribed by RNA polymerase I as part of the 45S precursor that also contains 18S and 28S rRNA.
Source: RNAcentral